GACGAACGCUGGCGGCGUGCUUAACACCCGUAAGUCGAACGGUAAGGCUCCAGCUUGCUGGGGUACACGAGUGGCGAACGGGUGAGUAACACGUGGGUGACCUGCCCUGCACUUCGGGAUAAGCCUGGGAAACUGGGUCUAAUACCGGAUAGGACCGCACCGUGAGGGUGUGGUGGAAAGUUUUUUCGGUGUGGGAUGGGCCCGCGGCCUAUCAGCUUGUUGGUGGGGUAAUGGCCUACCAAGGCGGCGACGGGUAGCCGGCCUGAGAGGGUGGACGGCCACAUUGGGACUGAGACACGGCCCAGACUCCUACGGGAGGCAGCAGCGGGGAAUAUUGCACAAUGGGCGGAAGCCUGAUGCAGCGACGCCGCGUGGGGGAUGACGGCCUUCGGGUUGUAAACUCCUUUCACCAUCGACGAAGGGUUUCUGACGGUAGAUGGAGAAGAAGCACCGGCUAACUACGUGCCAGCAGCCGCGGUAAUACGUAGGGUGCGAGCGUUGUCCGGAAUUACUGGGCGUAAAGAGCUCGUAGGUGGUUUGUCGCGUCGUCUGUGAAAUUCCGGGGCUUAACUCCGGGCGUGCAGGCGAUACGGGCAUAACUUGAGUACUGUAGGGGAGACUGGAAUUCCUGGUGUAGCGGUGAAAUGCGCAGAUAUCAGGAGGAACACCGGUGGCGAAGGCGGGUCUCUGGGCAGUAACUGACGCUGAGGAGCGAAAGCAUGGGGAGCGAACAGGAUUAGAUACCCUGGUAGUCCAUGCCGUAAACGGUGGGCGCUAGGUGUGGGUUUCCUUCCACGGGAUCCGUGCCGUAGCUAACGCAUUAAGCGCCCCGCCUGGGGAGUACGGCCGCAAGGCUAAAACUCAAAGGAAUUGACGGGGGCCCGCACAAGCGGCGGAGCAUGUGGAUUAAUUCGAUGCAACGCGAAGAACCUUACCUGGGCUUGACAUAUACAGGAUCGCGCCAGAGAUGGUGUUUCCCUUGUGGCUUGUAUACAGGUGGUGCAUGGUUGUCGUCAGCUCGUGUCGUGAGAUGUUGGGUUAAGUCCCGCAACGAGCGCAACCCUUGUCUUAUGUUGCCAGCACGUUGUGGUGGGGACUCGUAAGAAACUGCCGGGGUUAACUCGGAGGAAGGUGGGGAUGACGUCAAAUCAUCAUGCCCCUUAUGUCCAGGGCUUCACACAUGCUACAAUGGUCGGUACAGUGGGUUGCCAGUCCGUGAGGGCGAGCUAAUCCCGCAAAGCCGGUCUCAGUUCGGAUCGGGGUCUGCAACUCGACCCCGUGAAGUCGGAGUCGCUAGUAAUCGCAGAUCAGCAACGCUGCGGUGAAUACGUUCCCGGGCCU
Molecule: ribosomal RNA, 1341 nt
Filed under: uncultured bacterium
Lineage: Bacteria
Description: 16S ribosomal RNA
Rfam family: Bacterial small subunit ribosomal RNA
Source: RNAcentral